Non-coding RNA from Triticum urartu, 138 nucleotides. The record is from Rfam. NCBI's taxonomy places the organism in Eukaryota, Viridiplantae, Streptophyta, Magnoliopsida, Poales, Poaceae.
AAACUACUCCCUCCAUUUCAAAUUUUUUUGUCUUAGAUUAGUCUAGAUACGGAUGUAUCUAAUACUAAAACGUGACUUGAUACAUCCAUAUUUAAAAAAAAAUCUAAGACAAGAAUUUUGGGGCGGAGGGAGUAUUAU